RNAcentral lists this ribosomal RNA (426 nucleotides) under uncultured Pseudomonadota bacterium. RNAcentral's name for it is "bacterial SSU rRNA". It matches the Rfam family "Bacterial small subunit ribosomal RNA", at positions 356 to 774 of the family's 1533-position model. Lineage: Bacteria; Pseudomonadati; Pseudomonadota. The record is from RNAcentral.
GGGGAAUUUUGGACAAUGGGGGAAACCCUGAUCCAGCCAUGCCGCGUGUGGGAUGAAGGCCUUCGGGUUGUAAACCGCUUUUGUCAGAGACGAAAAGGGACGUACGAAUAAUACGUUCCGCUGACGGUAUCUGAAGAAUAAGCACCGGCUAACUACGUGCCAGCAGCCGCGGUAAUACGUAGGGUGCAAGCGUUAAUCGGAAUUACUGGGCGUAAAGGGUGCGCAGGCGGCUGUGCAAGACAGAUGUGAAAUCCCCGGGCUUAACCUGGGAACUGCAUUUGUGACUGCACGGCUAGAGUUUGUCAGAGGAAAGCGGAAUUCCUAGUGUAGCGGUGAAAUGCGUAGAUAUUAGGAGGAACACCAGUGGCGAAAGCGGCUUUCUGGACGACAACUGACGCUGAGGCGCGAAAGCCAGGGGAGCAAACG